UACGUAGGGUCCGAGCGUUGUCCGGAAUUAUUGGGCGUAAAGGGCUCGUAGGCGGUUUGUCGCGUCGGGAGUGAAAACACGGGGCUUAACCCCGUGCCUGCUUCCGAUACGGGCAGACUAGAGGUAUGCAGGGGAGAACGGAAUUCCUGGUGUAGCGGUGAAAUGCGCAGAUAUCAGGAGGAACACUGGUGGCGAAGGCGGGUCUCUGGGCCGAUACUGACGCUGAGGAGCGAAAGCGUGGGUAGCAAACAGG
RNAcentral lists this ribosomal RNA (253 nucleotides) under uncultured bacterium. Its description in RNAcentral is "partial 16S ribosomal RNA". It matches the Rfam family "Bacterial small subunit ribosomal RNA", at positions 524 to 776 of the family's 1533-position model. The record is from RNAcentral.